CCUACGGGAGGCAGCAGUGGGGAAUCUUGGACAAUGGGCGCAAGCCUGACCCAGCAACGCCGCGUGAAGGAAGGAGGCUCUCCGGUUUUAAACCUCUUUUGAUAGGGAAGAGUAGAAGACGGUACCUGACGAAAAAGCCACGGCUAACUACGUGCCAGCAGCCGCGCUCAGUAGUAGGUGGCAAGCGUUGUCCGGAUUUACUGGCUGUAAAGGGCGUGUAGCCGGGUUGACAAGUCAGGUGUGAAAUCCUGCGGCUUAACCCCCGAACUGCAUUUGAAACUGUUGGUCUUGAGUAAUGGAGAGGCAGAUGGAAUUCCUGGUGUAGCGGUGAAAUGCGUAGAUAUUAGGAGGAACACCAGUGGCGAAGGCGGUUUGCUGGACAGCAACUGACGCUGAGGCGCGAAAGCGUGGGGAGCAAACAGGAUUAGAUACCCUGGUAGUC
Molecule: ribosomal RNA, 442 nt
Filed under: uncultured bacterium
Lineage: Bacteria
Description: partial 16S ribosomal RNA
Rfam family: Bacterial small subunit ribosomal RNA
Source: RNAcentral